This 67-nucleotide transfer RNA is filed under the name Saccostrea mordax (small rock oyster). RNAcentral's name for it is "tRNA-Phe". Lineage: Eukaryota; Metazoa; Mollusca; Bivalvia; Ostreida; Ostreidae. The record is from RNAcentral.
GGGUAAGUAGCCUAAGAAAGGUGUGACAUUGAAGCUGUUAAGAUGGCUUAAAAUAAGCCCUAGCCCA